Molecule: long non-coding RNA, 214 nt
Organism: Silurus meridionalis
Lineage: Eukaryota; Metazoa; Chordata; Actinopteri; Siluriformes; Siluridae
Exons: 2
Source: RefSeq, a predicted model, not a curated record
GAAAUGGACCAUUCCAAGCUUCUCCCCUGAGUUUGGUGUAGAAAACAGGAAACUGUUUCACUUGUGAAGUUCAUAGCAGACAAAAAGAGUAGUUUUUAGGUUUUAGGAGUUUAUUGUUCGUGUCUGCAGCACACUAUGCUGCUGCUGGACCGAGUGAUGUGACUUAUGCUAAAAUUGACCUAAAAAAACUAAAGAAACCCAAGAAAAAACAAGG